Molecule: ribosomal RNA, 433 nt
Filed under: uncultured bacterium
Lineage: Bacteria
Description: partial 16S ribosomal RNA
Rfam family: Bacterial small subunit ribosomal RNA
Source: RNAcentral
AACGAACGCUGGCGGCAUGCCUAACACAUGCAAGUCGAACGAGACCUUCGGGUCUAGUGGCGCACGGGUGCGUAACGCGUGGGAACCUGCCCUUAGGUUCGGAAUAACUCAGAGAAAUUUGAGCUAAUACCGGAUAAUGUCUUCGGACCAAAGAUUUAUCGCCUUUGGAUGGGCCCGCGUAGGAUUAGCUUGUUGGUGGGGUAAUGGCCUACCAAGGCGACGAUCCUUAGCUGGUCUGAGAGGAUGAUCAGCCACACUGGGACUGAGACACGGCCCAGACUCCUACGGGAGGCAGCAGUGGGGAAUAUUGGACAAUGGGCGAAAGCCUGAUCCAGCAAUGCCGCGUGAGUGAUGAAGGCCUUAGGGUUGUAAAGCUCUUUUAUCAGGGAUGAUAAUGACAGUACCUGGAGAAUAAGCUCCGGCUAACUCCGUG